Molecule: ribosomal RNA, 492 nt
Filed under: uncultured bacterium
Lineage: Bacteria
Description: partial 16S ribosomal RNA
Rfam family: Bacterial small subunit ribosomal RNA
Source: RNAcentral
AGUGAACGCUGGCGGUAGGCCUAACACAUGCAAGUCGAACGGCAGCACAGUAAGAGCUUGCUCUUACGGGUGGCGAGUGGCGGACGGGUGAGGAAUACAUCGGCAUCUACUUUUUCGUGGGGGAUAACGUAGGGAAACUUACGCUAAUACCGCAUACGACCUACGGGUGAAAGCAGGGGAUCUUCGGACCUUGCGCGAUUGAAUGAGCCGAUGUCGGAUUAGCUAGUUGGCGGGGUAAAGGCCGACCAAGGCGACGAUCCGUAGCUGGUCUGAGAGGAUGAUCAGCAACACUGGAACUGAGACACGGUCCAGACUCCUACGGGAGGCAGCGGUGGGGAAUAUUGGACAAAGGGCGCAAGCCUGAUCCAGCCAUACCGCGUGGGUGAAGAAGGCCUUCGGGUUGUAAAGCCCUUUUGUUGGGAAAGAAAAGCAGCAGGUUAAUACCCCGCUGUUCUGACGGUACCCAAAGAAUAAGCACCGGCUAACUUCGUG